RNAcentral lists this ribosomal RNA (463 nucleotides) under uncultured bacterium. RNAcentral describes it as "partial 16S ribosomal RNA". It matches the Rfam family "Bacterial small subunit ribosomal RNA", at positions 28 to 507 of the family's 1533-position model. The record is from RNAcentral.
GACGAACGCUGGCGGCGUGCUUAACACAUGCAAGUCGAACGGAGAACCUCUUCGGAGGGGAUCAGUGGCGAACGGGUGAGUAACCCGUGGGCAACCUGCUCCCGGCUCUGGGAUAACUCCAAGAAUUUGGGGCUAAUACCGGAUGUUCACCGCUUCCCGCAUGGGGGGUGGUGGAAAGUGUUUCGGGCUGGGGAUGGGUCCGCGGCCUAUCAGCUUGUUGGUGGGGUAGUGGCCUACCAAGGCGACGACGGGUAGCCGACCUGAGAGGGUGACCGGGCACCCUGCGCCUGCGGGAGGGCGCAGACGGCAACGGGAGGCAGCGGUCGGGAAUAUUGCGCAGCGAGGGGAAGCGUGACGCAGCGGCGCCGCGUGGGGGAUGACGGCUUGCGGGUUGUAAACCGCUUUCAGCAGAGACGAAGCGCAAGUGACGGUACCUGCAGAAGAAGCAACGGCCAACUACGUG